This 468-nucleotide ribosomal RNA is filed under the name uncultured diatom. RNAcentral describes it as "SSU rRNA". It matches the Rfam family "Bacterial small subunit ribosomal RNA", at positions 217 to 699 of the family's 1533-position model. Lineage: Eukaryota; Bacillariophyta. The record is from RNAcentral.
GCCUAAAGAGAAGCUUGCGGCUGAUUAGCUUGUUGGUGAGGUAAUAGCUCACCAAGGCGACGAUCAGUAUCUGGUUUGAGAGGACGAUCAGACACACUGGAACUGAGACACGGUCCAGACUCCUACGGGAGGCAGCAGUAGGGAAUUUUCCGCAAUGGGCGAAAGCCUGACGGAGCAAUACCGCGUGAGGGAUGACGGCCUAUGGGUUGUAAACCUCUUUUUUCAGGGAGGAAUAAAUGACGUGUACCUGAAGAAUAAGCAUCGGCUAACUCCGUGCCAGCAGCCGCGGUAAGACGGAGGAUGCAAGUGUUAUCCGGAAUCACUGGGCGUAAAGCGUCUGUAGGUGGUCCAAUAAGUCAACUGUUAAAUCUUGAGGCUCAACCUCAAAACCGCAGUCGAAACUAUUAGACUAGAGUAUAGUAGGGGUAAAGGGAAUUUCCAGUGGAGCGGUGAAAUGCGUAGAUAUUG